RNAcentral lists this ribosomal RNA (253 nucleotides) under uncultured bacterium. Its description in RNAcentral is "partial 16S ribosomal RNA". It matches the Rfam family "Bacterial small subunit ribosomal RNA", at positions 524 to 776 of the family's 1533-position model. The record is from RNAcentral.
UACGUAGGGACCAAGCGUUGUCCGGAAUUAUUGGGCGUAAAGAGCUCGUAGGCGGCUGUCCACGUCGGAUGUGAAAGCUCAGGGCUCAACCCUGAGAUGCCAUUCGAUACGGGACGGCUAGAGGUAGGUAGGGGAAAGUGGAAUUCCUGGUGUAGCGGUGAAAUGCGCAGAUAUCAGGAGGAACACCGGUGGCGAAGGCGGCUUUCUGGGCCUUACCUGACGCUGAGGAGCGAAAGCUGGGGGAGCAAACAGG